AAGCGCGCGUAGGCGGUAAAAUAAGUCUGAUGUGAAAGCCCCCGGCUCAACCGGGGAGGGUCAUUGGAAACUGUUUUACUUGAGUACAGAAGAGGAGAGUGGAAUUCCAUGUGUAGCGGUGAAAUGCGCAGAGAUAUGGAGGAACACCAGUGGCGAAGGCGGCUCUCUGGUCUGUUACUGACGCUGAGGUGCGAAAGCGUGGGGAUCAAACAGGAUUAGAUACCCUGGUAGUCCACGCCGUAAACGAUGAGUGCUAAGUGUUGGGGGGUUUCCGCCCCUCAGUGCUGCAGCUAACGCAUUAAGCACUCCGCCUGGGGAGUACGACCGCAAGGUUGAAACUCAAAGGAAUCGACGGGGACCCGCACAAGCGGUGGAGCAUGUGGUUUAAUUCGAAGCAACGCGAAGAACCUUACCAAAUCUUGACAUCCUCUGACAACUGUAGAGAUACAGCUUCCCUUCGGGGCAGAGUGACAGGUGGUGCAUGGUUGUCGUCAGCUCGUGUCGUGAGAUGUUGGGUUAAGUCCCGCAACGAGCGCAACCCUUAAGUUUAGUUGCCAUCAUUAAGUUGGGCACUCUAGACUGACUGCCGGUGACAAACCGGAGGAAGGUGGGGACGACGUCAAAUCAUCAUGCCCCUUAUGAUUUGGGCUACACACGUGCUACAAUGGACAGGUUACAAAGGGCAGCAACGCCGCGAGGCCAAGCGAAUCCCAUAAAACUGUUCUCAGUUCGGAUUGGAGUCUGCAACUCGACUCCAUGAAGCUGGAAUCGCUAGUAAUCGUAGAUCAGCAUGCUACGGUGAAUACGUUCCCGGGUCUUGUACACACCGCCCGUCACACCACGGAAGUCGAUAACACCUGAAGCCGGUGGGCCAACCAUUUAUGGAGGCAGCCGUCGAAGGUGGGAUGGAUGACUGGGGUG
This 921-nucleotide ribosomal RNA is filed under the name uncultured bacterium. RNAcentral's name for it is "bacterial SSU rRNA". It matches the Rfam family "Bacterial small subunit ribosomal RNA", at positions 563 to 1482 of the family's 1533-position model. The record is from RNAcentral.